Molecule: long non-coding RNA, 4773 nt
Organism: Gallus gallus (chicken)
Lineage: Eukaryota; Metazoa; Chordata; Aves; Galliformes; Phasianidae
Exons: 8
Source: RefSeq, a predicted model, not a curated record
UGGGAUUUCCCAUUGCACAGCAGUGCCAUGCAAGGUAUUUUGUGUGGGUUUUUUUUUGUUAUAGUGCCAUUGAUUUGAGGCUGUCAUAAUAAUUCUAAACCCUAAGGUAAAGAGAAAACUAUUUGUUUAUCCCUUUACCCCUCCCCCAUAUGGCCUUGUUUAGAACUUGCUUUGGGGUUUGAAAAAACUGCAUUUACACAUAAUUAGCUGGCGUAUUCCUGGUGUAAUGCCAUUAGGGACAGCAAUGUGGCACCAGGCAGCACCUGGCAGGCUGGCUUGUUGAGGCACUGGAGGCAAGAUAGUCUCAUUAGCACCAAGCUCUGUCUGGUUUGCAGCAGCCAUGUUAAUGAACUACACUGUUCUAGGUAGCCAUAUCCUUGUGUCAGUAGGAUAAGCAACUAAGCUUAAUUUUGAAUAGCUUUUUUUAAGGUUUGAUAUUUUUACUGGAAAAAUACAAGUGUAUGCAGCCUUGCCUGAUGCUGCUUCUGUUUCCAGUGCUCAAAGAAUGCAACUGGCCUGUUUGCAAUUUCUGCUUCAGCUUAAAACCAACAUGAACACAUUUCUGAGGAUUUAUGAUGCUGUGUUAAGCUAGGCUAUCUGACAUAAUCACGUAAUUAAAUAUCUAGUUCUUUCAUGGAGCUGUAAUUAAAUAUCGGGCCUCCCUGAGGAGCCAGAAGAGAAGGAAAACACGGAAGGGGAGUAAUUGCCAGUGAGUCACCCCUGAGGGGGGAAAUCCAGGCCCCAGGUCUCAGCCCAGGGAUUUCUCACAGGGCUGGUGAGAGGGCAGGAAGGCUUGGGGUGACAAGGUUAGGCCGGUGGCUGUGGGAUGAUGUGGGCCUUGGGGAGCCCAGGCAGGUGAGGGCUGGCUCACAGCCACACGGUGCCAGGUGGGUGACAGCACGGCCUCCCCUGAGCUGAGAGAAAUGCUCGGGGAGAGCUGAGGAGAAACUUGAAAUGGGCCGUAGCCUGAAGAUAUUAUACUCUUCCCCGGCUGACAGCCUCAGUCUGGAGAUCGGCCAGGGAGGACGAGAAUGGGGCCCUUGGGGUCCAAAGAUAUUAACAAAAUAAAUAACCCUGACCGCAGCCCCCCUCCCUCUCCCCUCAACACAUUCCGUGCAGGAGCCAGGAGCACCCUUCCUUUCCCGCCGCCUCCUGAGGUAAAUCAGGCGCACCGCGUCUGCUUUGUAUUAUUAGAAAAGGGAAAUGAAAAAAAACAAUGUAAACACUCUUACAAUUGCUGCGGAAACUGGAUAUAACCAGGUUAUUCAAAGGGAAAAAAAUUCAGCCAUUCAUAUAUGCCCAAGUUUGCUUUCACAUCUGUUAAUUGUAAGGGGAUGAUUGUGGUUGAGGGCCUGGUUCAGCAUAGGCAGCUGCAGUGGCAGCAGGGACUGGUGCUCGGUGGCUGUGCCCUGCACAACUGUGAGGCUUUAAACCAUGAAAUGAGCAGUGUUUUAAAGUCUUUAAAGAACAGAAAAUGUUACUGGCAUUCCUGUUAUGACAUUGGAUCUGGAGGUGUUAGCUGACAGGCUGAGCCUGAGCCAGCAGUGUGCCCGGGUGGCACUGGGGGGUCAUGGUUUGGAGUGGUCGCAGGCCUGGCUUUCUGGUUGGACAAGGUGAUCUUAGUGGUAUUUCCAACCUUAAUGAUUCUGUGAUUGUGUUGUGUCGUAAUGCUUUUAUGUUACUAUUGUAUCAUCCUCCAUUGAAGUCCUUUUAAUGUCAAGCUGCUGGUCUUUUGCCUCUGAAAACCUUUGUUAUUUUAGUAUGCAUGCAACCAUUAGCUUAAAAUCAAGGCAAGUCUUGUUUUGCUCUGCUUCCUCAAGUGAAUGUCAGACAAAUUUUAGAGCUGUCACCUCCUUCUUACUGAAGUGGUGAUCUUGGUAGUCAUGAAUUCAAAAUACUACAUUCAAGUUUCUUGAUUGUAGGCUUCAAAUAACAUCAUCUCCUAAGAAAUGCAGUAUUGUCAUUGCCCAUUAUUAUAUUAGGAAUUUUACAGUAUUCAAAACUUGUUUUAGUGGGUUUUUAAUUUUUUAAUUUUUAUGGUAUUUAAUUUUCAAUAUUCUACCCCCAGAAUCUAUGAUUUGUGGCAUUUUUGGCUAUUUGUAAGAUGAUCUUUCUGUGACUGAAAUCUCUAAACAUUCCUUCCAGAGGUAAAACCUUUUAUUCUGACAACUAAAAAGAACCCAAGGCUUCUUAAGGAGGAAAAAAACAUCUGCCAAUCCCCAUGAUUUUCUGUUUGGAAGCUGUUUUCAUUUUUACUGCUUUGAGUUGUCAAUAUUGAAAAUAACUAGAGCAGAAGAUGAAAGCAUGUUCUGUGCCUGCUCAAAUAAACUCUCAAGAUAUUUAGGUUUUCUAAGUGGUUUUUUAAUUUUAGACAAUAAGCUCUUUUUAUGUGAUGAGUGCUUUCAGUAAGUUGUAUAGAUGUUUUUCUAGUAGGAGCUUUUUCUGUAAACUUCGUCAGUAGAAUAAUAAUUAAAAUGUAAAUAAAUAAAUACUCAAUAAUGGAAAGGCCUUGCGUGCUUUCUCUGUAACAGAAUAUGGCAGUUUAAAUAAGAAACAGUAAAAAGUAGCCUUUAACAUUUUCUUGAACUGUUAUGCUCUAAAUUUUGAUGUACAAGGCUAUUAUCACAUUAUGACUCAAUCCUCCUUUUUAACAUCUUUCAGUAUACAUAUCUUAAGCAAGUUUAUGUACAUGUAAGGCAUUUGGCAGCAUUUGAAUGAAAUGCAUUAAUUUCAUCCUUUCAUGAGUUUCUGUACUUCUUGCCUUGCGGAGUACUUAGGGAGCAUGAGUAUUUUCAUAGAUAUCUCCAACAUCUGUUUUUAAUAUUCUAACAUCUUUCUUCCGUGUACAUUUGAUAGACAACAUACUUUUGGCAGUCUCUGUUAUUAGAAUUGCCAAAAUGUUGAUAUUAAUCUGAGUGACUUGGUUUUUAAUGAGUGCAAGCCAGAAUGAGCCUUUUCAGAGACUCAUCUUUGGAACCAAGUUAUUUCUAGGAAGCCAAAUGUUUCAACAUUCUUUUUAGGCAAUCAGAAAUAGAUUUAUAAUAGAAUAAGCAAAUGAUUUCUGUUCAUGAGCAGUCAUUCAAAUAUAUCAGUUCCUUUCUCUCUGUUUCUGAUCUGUGUAUUUUUAGAUACAGCGCUGUUAGAACUCUGUCCAAGUGCCAGGCCAGAGGAUUUUGUUUCACUGUGAACUUAACCCCCUGAAAUGCCUAUUUAAAGGGGAUUGAUAUGAAUGUAUAAAGGGUAUUUCAUUAAAAGAUUUUCAGACACUUAAAUGUUACAGUGAGGAGUACUGUGCUGUUUUUAAACAUCUGACUACAGACUGAAAGGCACAGCCUUGAGUUGAGCACCAGGGCUUCUUAUGUGAUGUGUGAGAAGUCCCCUCUGAAGGGGCCGUGCAAACACCAAAUGACACCAGAAAACAAAAAGGGAGCCAGUAUGGAAGUACCUCCAGGUACUCCACAUUUGCAGUUAAGUUCUGGACAGGAGAAAUGUUAGGUGACUCCCAUUUCUUUGGAUUGUGCCAUCUGAUGGUGGUUAGAUGGCUGUAAGAUUCUGCUGGAAUUAAAUCCCUUCGUGGCAGAGACCUUAUUCCCCUCACAUGUGUUUCUUGUAUGUCUCUGAAGAGUUCAUUAGCCAUAGACUGACAAGCUAUUCUGUACAGGUGUAAACUCAUUUUCUCCUAGGGAAGCUGUUCUUGAGGUUUGCAAGCCUUGGGGACAGGGCAAACAUGGCCUGGGUUUCUAAACUCUCUGAAGAGUGUGAGGGAAAGACAUGGUUUCAGUCUCUCACUGAAGGGUUAUUGUGGUGGACAAUCUAUAAAAACUAACUUUUUCUAUUCUAGAAUGAUGUGGAUGUUUCUGCUUUUUCUGAAGAGGUCGGUAUGAGCAAGGAGAGUGUAUACUGGAUCGGGUGGAAGUGAUGACUGCAUGAAUCCUGAUGGACCCAGGAAAGAAUCUGCAGAAACAAGUGAAAAGUCCAUGCAGAUACUGAAAUCCUGUCCUCAUCAAGAUUCUGAAGAUGUUCAACCACUAAGACUUACACUACUGGCCAGUAAAAUUACAGCUUAUAAUUUACCCAAGAAAGAAAAGAUCUAAAUCUAUCCUUAAGGAAAACGAACUGCUCUCAACUGUGGAUAAAGGCCAGGUGAGUGGGAUUCCCAGCAGCAAGGGGUUAAUGGUUGAGAAGCUAAACCUCCUAGAGAAGUAAAUCUGUCUGCUGUAGAAAGUUUUGUCAGAACUUCUGGCUUCGCCUCUGCUCUGAGCCUCCUCUGGUCACAUGUUAAGAUAUUAGAGAACACCUGAAUCAAAGGGAAUCUAGCUGAACAACAGAUGCAAGAGCAACAGCUGUUUAAGUGAAAUUCUCAGCCAACUGUGUUGGGUGCCUGCAGAACCCUUCCUAAUGAGCUGCGCAGUGAUGCACUACGGGAUACAGAGAGGAAGUGAUCCAUGGGAGGGUAUUUCACGAGAAGGAGUCUAAGCAAGAACUGCCCUGUCUCUUUCAACCAAGUCUGCCAGUUUAUCCAAAAGUUGGCCUCUUUCCGAUGCAUCCAUUCUCCUCCAAACUGAACCCAGAGAAAAAGCAAGGCGAGCUGCUCUCACUGCCUUGUCCGUGUCAACCUAUCAAGAAAGAAGAAAUAAAUAAGGGUAUGUCCUGCACAAAAUCCAGCCUGCCAGACAGCAACGGUACCUUCUCCUAUUUUGGCUUCUCACUGUGCCACAUGCUGAUGUAGCAUCCAUUAUUUCAAUUUAGUCUCAUUAAAGGGAUUACUUCGCA